GGGCCUGCUGGAGAGCCGGGUCAGCCGGGUCACGCGCCCGGCUGGGGAACUGCACGACCUGGCUGAACAGAUAACACCGGGUCCAGUCUGACCCGGCUGAAAAAUGUCUCAAACUGACAAUGGAUUCCUAAAAUACCGGUAUUUUACGACUCGCGGACCCCAUCUGUUGCAAAUCUAGCGCAACCGUACACACUACAUAGUCUACAGUCUACCAGGUCUACAAGCGACAGAAACUCGGCUAGGGUCAACUGGGGUCAACUGGGGUCAACUGGUUCGAGCGCGAUCUGGCCAGCGGCGAGCAGGAAGUCAGGACAUUCAAAGUCGAUGGGGCAGUCAAAAGCGUAACUUUGGCUAUAGCUUUUGACACAGUUGCAAGUUUUCAGCCGACUGGUGAUUUGGACGAUGGAGCCCGCAGCUAAGAGAAAAAGAACUCACGCUUUCCAAGACUCUUGGAAGAAAGGUCGACCCUGGCUGGAUCCCAUGGAUUACGAUCAUGCCAGUCUAUACAUGUCGUGCGCUUUGUGCAAGACGCAAAGGAAGACGAGCGGCGGUGGAUUUGGUCGCGAUGUUCUCUAAAAUUUCCGAUUUCCGGUAAUAAAUUCGCCUU
This is a long non-coding RNA of Sycon ciliatum, 607 nucleotides long. RefSeq lists it as uncharacterized. The record is from RefSeq and is a predicted model, not a curated record. The transcript is spliced from 2 exons. Lineage: Eukaryota; Metazoa; Porifera; Calcarea; Leucosolenida; Sycettidae.